This 12453-nucleotide long non-coding RNA is filed under the name Homo sapiens (human). RNAcentral's name for it is "HSALNT0165958". Lineage: Eukaryota; Metazoa; Chordata; Mammalia; Primates; Hominidae. The record is from RNAcentral.
GGAAAGAUAACAAACAUAUCCUUGCAGAGCCUAUGGUGUGGGCCAUGAACCGUCCUCUCCCCAAGCCUUUACUUAUAUUCCCAGGCCAACUCCUUUAAAAGAUGGGUCACAGCAUUAUUGUCUCUAAUGUACAAAGAAUUAGUUGUGGCUCCUAGAGUUAACUAACUAGUCAAAUUUACACCAGGAGAAGUGGCUGGGAAAACAAGGUGGGCUCAGAUAUGUUUCACUCCAAAUUCAUGGUCUUCCCAUCACACCUGCAAUGGAUUCACCAACACACAGAGGAUAGUGAAAGUCUCAGUUUAUUUUCUAGUUAGAUUACUAACUUUGUUUACAUGAGGCAACGCACUGUCAUCAAGAAAAAAGAAGACAACAAAGAAGAGAACUGUUUUGCAAUAGCAGGCAGCACAGCGCAGGAGCUCUCAGACUACCUCAGAUGCCAAGAGCCUGGUUUGAAUACAAGCCUUGCCAUUGUGUGACUUUGGGUUUAAAGACCCCUGACGUGACUUAUUGCCAUUCUGCUACUGAGCCUUGAGAGAUUAUGGCUUGACUGGAUUUACAAGAGACCUUUUGAAAAGAUGCAGAGAAGGCAAGCAGCACACAUUUCCUGGUAAUAAAUUUUAAAGGUUGCUAAAACAUUCCAGAGAUUUUCACUCAACAUUCCUCUGGCCAACACAUCUGCAAUCUGCCAAUCCUUAAAAAUAGGUGUUUUUGCAUUUUAAUCUCACAAACAUCUUUGAAAAUGCAUUUCUUCUCUGCCCCUGUGUUGGACAAAUCCAGCUUUUUCCAUUUUCUAAAAACCACAGAAAUAUAAUGCUGCUUAAUUCAUACAAGACUGAGCUAACUGGAGUUAAAAUAAAAUUUCUGAGAGUUUGUUUGGCUCACUCUUCCCUACCAGAUGAUUCCAUUCUUAAAACGGUCCUGUGAUUAUAUUCUCUCAUUACAGAGGUGUCCAGAAAAAAAAUAAGGAGUGCAGUUCUGAAAUUAUAUAAAAGCAAAAUUAUUACUCUAAACGUAAGAGCUGUGAUAGAUCGUGUCAUUGACCAUGGUUCUUUUCCCCUGACACACACGUCCCCACCACCCACCCACUGUAUCCAUAUGCCUUUUGCCAUAUGACUUUGCAGCUCUCCCCACUAAAGGGGCAGCCAUGCGAUUUGCUUUGGCCAAUGAAAUGAGGCAGUAGUGGUGGUAUCCUAGUUCUGAGCCUAGGUCUCAAGAAGUCUUAUGUGUUUCUGCUUAUCCUCUUAUACCUCUGCCAUCACCAUGAGCCAAACAUCCCCCAAGUAGCCCACUGGUCCCAGGACAAGGAGGGAGACAUGAAGCAGAGCUCAUCCAGCUGCUGCAGCCCCACUUGACCCAGAGACCUACACUGGGAAGCAGAGCUGCCCAGUCAAGUCCAACCUGGAUGUGUGGAACCCCAGCCAACCUGAUGCAUGAGCAGGAGAUCAGCUUAAUAUUGAAUCCUAGCCUCAAUGCUUUGGAUUUGUGCCAAGAAAAAUAACCUGAUCCCCAGAAUCAUUGAGAAUUGACGGGGGUCCUCAGGCUGCUCACGGCAUUGGAAGACAUCAUAAACAUUAAUGGAGAGCGGGAUGCCAGAAUAAGUUGAUCCAAAUGAUGCAGGAAUAUUUAGCAGCAAGGAGAAAGGAAUUCACAUUUCUCAGUACCCACUAUGUGCCAUACUUUGUGAUAAGAUGGUUUCCCUCCAAUAUAUCCUCAUUGUCAGCAAUGUCGGGAAACAGGAAUCAUUUCCCCUUCUACAGGUGAUAAAACUGAAGCAAGAAACAUACAGGCUAACAUCAGCUGAGCUGAGAUUUGAACUCCACUCUUUUUGACCCUGGAGCUGAUGAAUGCUGCUUCUAGAGGUUGAGUAUCCCUUAUCCGAAAUCCUUGGAACCAGGAGAUUUUUGGAUUUGGGAAUAUUUGCAUAUACAUAAUGAGAUAUCUUGGAGAUGGGACCCAAGUCUAAAUACAAAAUUAUUUUGUUGUAUAUACACCUUGUACACAUAGACUGAAGAUAAUUUUAUACAAUAUUUUAAAUAAUUUUGUGCGUGAAACAAAGUUGUGACUAUGUCUUGACUGUAAGACAUCUUGCAUGCAACCCAUCAUAUGAGGUCAGGUGCAGAAUUUUCCAUUUGUGGUGUCAUGUUAGUGCUCAAAAAUUUUCGGAUUUUGGAGCACUUCAGACUUUCGUUUUCCAGACGGGGGAUGCUCAACCUGUCUUAGAACCUGUGGUCUCCCAUCAUGCCUCCCUUCCCCAUUCCCUUGCUCCACUGGGGUCUGAGGUGGGAAAGCAAAAGGAGUUGCAGGUAACCCUCACUUUUCACACCAGGCAAUCUCUCCCCACAAUCUGUCACAUUCCUGAAGAACAAGGAAGCAGAGCACUCCACUGAAGAAAUUCUGUUAAAAUCUAUCCCCAACGUAUAAGCAUCCAUCUUUGUCCCAGUCUGGGUCUAACAUGAACAAAGUGCUUAAACAAUUCAGUAGAGGAGAAAGGGAACUUGGAGCAGCUCUGUCACCCUGAAGUGACACUGCCAUGCUGCAUUUCCUGUCUGUAAUAUCUCUUCAGAGCAAUUGUUUUCUUCUGUGAGGACACUUCAGAGAUUCACAGAGACAGAUGCUCUUGUGACUGACCAUAGCAAGUAUCAAAAGGCCUGGGUGGAAUUACGAAGCAUUUCUCGUGCACUGCGUAUUGGGAAGUGCUUCACAGCUGUGUGGCAGAUGUGAGUGGACAGAGGGGCAAGGGAACUGCCCCAAAGGAGGUGGCAGAGGAAGCAACAAGCCAGGGAUUGGCUGGCCGGUCCCAGCACAGCAACUGCAGCAGCAGCUUGCUAAGUUUCACAGGUGAAGCCAAAGGCUGGGGGGAAUGGAAAACAAAUAUCACUCCAUUAAAUUAAGGUCUGAGGAAAACAUGAUGAGGAAAGUCAAUAGUGAAUCAAAACAUUGAAAAGCCACUAACUUUGACUUUCCAUGUGCGUGUGCAAGUUCACGUGUGCAUGUGUGUCUGCAUGUCCAAGUUCUACACUGAUUCAAGAAAUAAUUAUAGAGGGCCUGCCAUAGGAUGGUGAGCAAAACAGUCUUGGCCUCUGUCCUGAUGGAGCAUGCAGUAUCACAGACUCUAUAUGUUCUAUUUCUAGGCCUUGUAUUUUGAGGAUAUAUGCCAGUGGAAUGAGAAUGGCUCUGUGACCUUGUUUAAGUCCCACCACUGUCUCAGGCAGGGUUUUCCAAAGUGUAGUCCUUAUACUAUUAUGUGGUGAAGAUGCUUAAUUGUUUUGUAAUUAUUUAAUGUGCGUAGGUAUCACAUCAAACCCAGUAUUUUCAAGGAUUUUUAUAGCUUAAGACAAGGCUUGUUAUAGGCAAGGUGGAUCAAUUCAAAAAAUAUAUGCUAACAAAAUAAUAGUGGAGGUGGUACAAAGAAACAGCAAAGGUAGUGAGAUGGCUUCACUGGUGUUUGUGAAUCACCAAGAUAAUGCACGUGGAAAUAAAAAUCAGUGUGGUCCAUAGAAAUACAAGGGGUUCUAAUUACCCCUCAGUGAGCACUUGCUCUCUCACUCACCCCAGCAAUGACAUAUUAAGCAAAGCACUGCCCUGACUGCAUAUGCUCUUGCCGACAACUUGGCCAGCAUUCAGAAGACACUAAGUGUGCUCUGGGAACUUCAGAAGGCACUAACAUUCCAUGGAGAACUUCACAAAGAGUGAGACCUAGUCCCUGGCCUAAAGAGAGUAUAAUUUAGUAGGAAAGAGAAGACAAACACACAAAUAACUGUAAAAUGGGAUAAGCCCCAAAGUGGAGGUACAAAGUCCCAUAGAAGAGGCUCAAUGAUAAGUCACGCCUGCCGGGUAAGGUCAAGAAAGACUUCAUGGAGAUUUGAGAUGGCAUCUGAGAUAAGCCAGGAAAGACGGUAGAAUUUCAACAACCAAAAAAGUGGGGAGAGGGAUGGGAGGCAUUCCAGAGAAGGAGAAAUGCUUGAGCAAUGGUACAGAGACCAGGAAGUUAUAUGAGGGCAGAAAGUCCCUGCUGUCUAUUUAGCUGGGAUAUAGAAUGCAAGUCAGUUAGAUGAUUAGGUGGGGUUAUAACAUAACUAGCCUUAAAUAGUGGACUGAGAAUUUUCCACUUAAUUUAAUGCAAAUGGCAGGGGAGGGGGCAGGCAAUGGAGAGCUGAAAACAGGACUGGAGAUGCGCUGGAGGGAAGUAACCCUGGAAAUGGGUGAAGUACGGGUUACUGUCACCCCAGCUCUGGUUCUUGUUAUUCCCUAGGAGAAGCAUAAUAGAAGUGUGAAUUUAGGGUAGCCAAAUGAUGACUUUGCAGAGGGAAUCUUUAGGACUUGUGACUUGAUUAAAAGCAGGGAGAUGGAUAGGGAACGUCCAAGGAUAACUAGAUAACUAGAGCUCUCCUGUUCCUCUGACUCAUGUGUGCUGAAACUGUAGAGUCAAACAAACACUUGUAAGUGGCGUGAUGUAAAUCCCUUAGGGGCCCAUGCCUGCCUCAAGAGAAGAACGUGUGGUCAGGAAAAACGACCGGGGGAAGUGAAAACGACACAAGACCCAGAGGAUAACCCUUAUUUUAUUCACACAUGCAAAUUUAGGCACAGCAAAAAGCAAAACGAAGUAUACCAAAUGUCAAGGGUUAAUUAUUAAUCAUUUCUAUAUUAAAUUAUGAGUUUUUCAGUAAGACACUUUUUGAUAAGAAACUUGAAUUACGUUCAUAACCAUCAAAAUAAAGAAAAUAAAAGAGACAGAUUUUCUUUGGUGGUGGGAGAACAUUAAGUAUUGUGGAAGCCUGAAAAAUGGUCCCCAAAAGAAUCUGGUCCUAAUCCUUAGAACUUGUGAGUAUUAUCUUACUUGGAAAAAGGGUUGUUUUAAGAUAAGGAUCUUGAGUUGGGAAGAUUGUCCUGAGUUAUUCAGGUAGGCUGUAAAUGCCAUCACAGGCAACCUUUUUACAUGGAUAUUUGACACAGAGUGGAGGAGACACCCAUAGGAGAAGGCUAUGUGAAGACAUAGCAUCGAGACACUUGAAGAUAUUGGCCUUCAAAUGGCACAGCCACAAGCAAAGGAAUGCCAGCAGCCACCAGGAAAAAGCAAAGAAUGGAUUCUCACCUAAAGUCUCCAGAGGGACUGUAGAGUAUCCUGCCAACACCUUGAUUUUGACUCUGUGAAACUGAUGUCAGGCUUCUGGCCUCCAGAACUGUGAGAGAAGAAAUUUCUGUUGUUUUAAACCUUCGAAUUUGUGGUAAUGUGUUAGAGCAGCCACAGGAAACUCAUAUUCUAAACUAGCAACUAUGAAAUGAGAAUUUCUAGUGUUCAGCUAAGAUACCACCGCAGAAGCAGCUGGAUAAUAUCAGAUGAGCCGAAAACUUCUCUUACCCCAUUUCCUUAUCCAUAAAAUUAGCAAAUAAUACCUGUCUUGCAGAGUUAAUUUUAAAGUUAUACAAGUAAAUACACUUUGAAAGUGACAAGUACUAGAAAAAUGUAGGGAAUUAUCCUACAAGUCUGGGUAUCCCCACCACCCAAGGCACAUGAAUGAUGCACAAUAAAAUAUACAAUUGGUUAGAAAUAGAACAAAGUGUUGAAAGUGCUUCAAAGCUCGAAAUGUAGGGCAUGAGGAAUGAAGGAAAUUCAGUUCAGGAAUAAAAUAUUUAUUCAGCAUCACUAAUAAGCCAGGCACUCUGCCAGAACCCAAAGGUAUAAAGAGGAACAAAUGAUAAUUCCUGCCCUGUGGAUGGCUUAUAGUCUAGGGUAGCAUUUUUACAGUGUGUUCACAGACCACUAAGCUCUCAAAUUUCUAUUUAAAGAUGCCAAAGGACCCAAGAUCAAGUGCUAUAUUCUAAUAUCUACCCUCUCCAUUUCCUACCCCCUCCCACAACCACACUUUCUGUAGACUCACAAUGUGUUAGUUAAUUUAAGGCAUUGAGUCCUGUUGUUAAUAAGCUGACUUGCCCUUAAUUAUCACAGGCUUUUCCAAAUUUCCUUGACAUGCACUAACCAUUUAACCUUGGGGAAAAGAAUGGAAUAACAUUCUUGCCUGCCUGUUGUAGCUGUCAUCAUAUUUAAAUGUAAUAAAACAUGGAAAGUGUUUAAUAAUUAUGGUGCUCUAGGCAAAAUAGCAGUCCUUCAAAAAUGCCCAUGCCCUAAUCUCCAGAACCUGUGAAUAUGUUACCUGACAUUGUAAAGCAACCUUGUAGGUGUGAUUAAAGUUACAAGCUCUGAGAAGAGAAAAUUACUCUGGAUUAUCUGGGUGGGCCCAGCUUAAUCAUAUGAACCCUUAAAAGUGGAGAAUGUUUUCCAGCUAAGGUCAGAGAAAGAGACUUGACAAAGGAAGAAGGGUCAUAGGGAUGUGAUACCGCUAGCUUUAGAGAUGAAGGAAGAGGACCACAGCCAAGAAAUGUGGGUAGCCUCUGAACACAAUACAAGGCAAGGACACGGGCUCUCUCCUUGAGCCUCUAGAAGGAGCACAGCCAUAAGGCAUUCUUAAACUAUGUCGCUUACCUUACCUACCUCAUCCACUUACUACUUGUAUGGCUAAUGGCAUGAGGAAGUCACUAAAACUCUCCGAGCCUUCCUGGCCUCCACUUAAAUGGGAGUGGUACCCACAGAGGGUCAGGAGGCUCAAUCAAAUCUCAAAUUCAUUAUCUCUUGCUUCUCAUGCACAAGUCAGUGUCAGCAGGAGGCAUCAGUGCUUCUGCAAAAAUAACUAAUUCAACAUUACUUUGUCAGAUCACAACCCUUCUUUGCUAAAACCUUCCAGAGGCUCCCUGUCUCACUCACAGAACAACCUCAUGGACUUCCUCUGUUCUCAGGAUUCUCAUGACACAAUAUGACCCCAUUUCCUCUGACUAUAGGUCCUUCCUCUCUCCCCCUUCCUGAUGGUGCUCCAGCCAUACUGGCCACCUUGCUGUUCCUGAGGCACACCAGGCAGCUUCCAGCCUCAGGACAUUUGCACUUGCUGUUUUCUCUGCUUAGAGCCCUCUUCCCCCAUAUCCACAUAGCUUGCUCCCUCAACUCCUUUAGAUCUUCAUUCGGCUAUUACCUUCUUCCUGAGGCCUUCCCUAACAACCCUAUGAAAAUUGCAAUACCUGCCAGCCAAACAUUCCCCAUCCUCCCUUCACUUUAAUUUCCGCCAUAGUAAUUUCAUCUUCUCACAUGCUGCAUAUUUAACUGUUUUGUUUACUUUCUUUCCUCCAUUGGAAUAUAAGCUCUAUCAGGGCUUUUCAUGAAGGACAUGCAAGUAGAUGCUUGAUAAAUAUUUGUUGGAUAAAUAAAUCAGUGCAUAUACCAAUCUGAAGUCACAAAAUCAAUAUGAGCAUCACCUUCCACUAAAGACAUAUCCUUUCAGUUAUCGAUGAAAAAUGAAGUUGAAAACACAAUAAUCAGCCUGUCAUUGAACAAUGCAGCUGCAGCUAAGAUCAAGUUCUUGACUGACUUUGCCGAGCCCAACCAAUUCAAAGGAAGAAUAAAAACAUGGUCAAGGGACCCAAGACCCAGCUCUUAUCCCCUACUCAGAGAAAACCCAGAGAGAACCAGCCUUCUGAUGUCUUGUCCUUCCUGGUUUUGACCAACCUCUAAAAACCAUAAGAACAGUUUGUCUCAGUAUUUCAGUACUUCCGCUUCCAGGCCCAGGAAAGAGCAGGAAGUGCAGGGGCGUGUGAAAAUCAAGAAAAAAGAAGAAUUAAACCCGCUACACAUGAAGCGCUCAAAGACUUCCUCUGUAACCUGUUGCAGCACACGAGUUUCAAUGUGCUUUCACUGAGAGCCCAGGGGGACUGUGCUGUCCCCAGAAUUUCGCACCAUGCCCCACACUCUCAAUGAACACUUGUUGCCUAAAAAAAAAAAAUUAAAUUUUAAGACCUUCAGUUUCUCUAUUUGUAUAAAGUGAUUAUAAAACCUACCUUAUGGAGCUGUCUGAUGAUCACAUAUGAAAUCGCAUAUGUUAAGUGCUUAUGCAGCGUCUGGCACAUGAUCAGCAUUAAUUUUAUGUGAACUGCCAUUUUGAUGGCAGUGGUGGCGAUCUGAUGGUGGAGGAGGUUUAGUUAGCGCUGGGUAGAUUGUAACAUAUACCUAUCCUUAAUGAUUUGUUCAACCUGGAAUUUUGGACGGAGCCUGGGCCUGAGGAGUUGAACCUUAGAGUGAUCCAUUUCUCUUGGAAAAGUCCUGUUCAGUUUGAGCAAGAAACUCUGGAAAGGGGAAGGAUGUAUUUUAAUCCCAGCUACCAGGGUGACAGGCAGCAGAACUGAAACAGCAUGACUAAGCACAGACCAUCUCCUUUCAUUACAUGGGGGGCUGAGGUCUUUCCUCUCUACUGCCAGGGACUGGAGAAAGGAAAGAUACCCAGUUUAAUUGCAUCUGAUAAACGGAUAGUAAAGUCCAAGAGUAGACAAUUGGAAUAUUUCCCCAGCCUUUUUCCUGUUAGGUUCUCAAAGCUAGAAAAAAAAUGCUGAAUGUCUUUUCCCUAACUUCAUAUCGCCAUAUGAAGCCCAGCUAAGUUUCCCUUGAAGUUCACUAGCCCAUUUCCUCUGUAGGUCUACAGGGGCCACCUGCCAAUGUGCAGGGAUUAAAUGAAGAAAUAAAGACCUAAGGCCUUUCUAGAAGCUAAAAACCCUAGGACUCCCUAAACACUUUGGAGUUGCAGCUCCCAUUGGUUAAGAGGUAUGGAUCGCAUAGUUUCAAGCUGAGCCAUGCUUUUCGGAAUACUCUGCUUUUUCUCAUCUUUUUCCACUAUAGUAAUACUAUAAAUGAGAUCUCUUCCAGAAAUAAAGGCAGAAAGCCCCAAGCUCGAUGCUAAAGAUGUUUGUGACAGAGUUCUGCAAGAAUAGGAUAUUUGCAGUCUCGUCUGCGAUAAUCAUUUCAGAAGUGGCUGCUGAUACUGGACUAUGUGGCAGAGGAGACUCCUGACUUUCACUUCUCUAAAUAACCAACAACUCCUCACUGUCCCUGUGUAAAGCUAUCAUGGCUGUGGGGAAGGAGAGACACUUCAAGGACAGCUCAGAGCAAAGUACCAGUUUAAAAUCUUCUCACGAGAAGAGCAGCAUCCUUCACUCAUUUGUCCUUUCACUGAGGGUGCACUACAUGUACUCACUGUGCUAGAUAUUGGGAAUACAGGGCUGAGUGAGACAUGGGCAGACUCCCUGAGAGGUAACACUCAGACUACAUCUCAAAGGAUAACUAGAUAUCCGCCAAUCAAGAUGGAGCAGCAGGCCAGGUAUACAGGCUCAGCAUCACUUUGGGCGUUGCUUUAUCUUAAAAAGCUGCCUGAACCACUUAAAGGGACCCACUGCUGCCUUCAAAAGAGUACAGUGAUAUGCAUCUUCCUGAGGUCUUUCUAAGCCACUUCUGGAGCUAGAUAUAUGUUUCUCAGAUGUCUCUGAAACAAGGUUUCCAGGCAACUACAUCUGAGGCCAUUGGUGCUGCAAUAUGACUGAAAGGAAAGAGGGUGUGUACUUCAACAGCCUUGCUGUAAGCAAGGUGGCUUCAUCCCCUCCCCCCACCUGAAAUUGAGAAACACAGAAGUGACCACAGUCCUAGGCCACUGUGUGCAAAAAUGGGAAAUGUCACUCAUCAGGUCCUCUCCCACGUUUAACCAGAAUCAUCAGCCUAUAGAUUCGGGAACUGAGUGGCUUGACCAUUUUGCACGUAAGCCAUAUGCAAUUGGUCCAAAGGAGACCAGUGAGCAACAAUUCAAUUUAGAGUUCACUGAACUCUCUGGUUUGGGAAGGAAAUUGCUAGUAAUCAAUUGCAGCAAGCAUACAGGCUCAGGGCCAGGAAGAGAAAAAUCACUUUAAUGGGCAAAGCAGAUGUUGCUAAAUUCAUUGCAAAAGUGAGAUGGGCACAGAGCCAGGCCUUGCAUGAGAGAUGCUGAUCUGUUCUCCUGAAUGAACAAAACAGAGACAUUUCAAAAAGGGGGGUUUCUAUGAAAGAAGCCAGAGGUCUGUGUCCCUGUUAGAGUAAAUAAAAGAAAAUGCACCCAGGUGUUCAGGUCCCCCAUACCACCACAGGACUUAAAGUUGUUAACAUCUUACGAGGAUUUUUAAACAAAUCCAGAAUACUAGCAAAAACUGCCUGGGGAGUCUUCAUUCGGUUCUAAGGAGAGUAUGUGGUAGAGUAGAGAGAACACGGGCUUUGGCAUCAGAUCUGUUUCUUCCAUGAAUUAGUUGCUUCCACCACCAAGAAGUUGUAUGACUUGGGCAAAGUUCUUAACACCUCUCAGUCUCAGUUUCCUCCACUGUAAAAUGGGCCUAAUGUCAUUUACCUUAUUAGAGCAGUUGUGAGGACUAGUGAUAAUGUCUGUAAAGUAUGGUAGAGAAAUGCACUUAAGCAAUAACAUGUUUUCAGAACCAUGAAAAGACUAGUGACACUAGGAUGUGGGGAGAAUUGGUUAAUGACAGGGCAGGGUGGGGUGGGAUGGGGAGAAUUUCUGGCCCAAUAUUGACCAGCUUUGGCACGUGCUCUUGGUGAAGGAUUACUUCACAGGUCACAUGUUUCUUUGCAUGCUUAGGCUGAUAAAACAUCUCUCAAGAAUAUAAGAGCUCAGCAAGUGUAGGAGCAUAGCCCAAGAAAGGUCACUGUGUGUACUUAGAACAUUUUCAUGGAGUAGCUUCAAAUGCAAGCCUCCUAAAAGAGAGUUGAUUCUGAUUCCCCAAAUCUGAAAUGUUCUUUACUUACCUAAUUCCCACUCAUCCUUCAAGGCCCAACCAGAGUCCCUCCUCUGAGAAUCAUCCCAAAUUCCUCUGGAGCUCACCAUCUCUACCUACUCACAUAUUGCCCAGUUUAUAUCAGCUGCCUUCAAUCCUUCCUGGAACAAGACAUUAAUCCCAUUCAGUAAAAACUUUAAAUGCUACUUACUCAAUUCUUUGGCCUGUCAUAGUAAAGUGUCAUACACUGAUCAUCACCUGAAUCAUGUGGUUCUACCCCAAAUACUUAGCAACUUCCUAGAGUUUAGAUAUUGAACUUGCACUAAUUAAAAUCUCUAAAUCAGAAGGCAGAGAGAGCUGAGGGCUCUGACACUUGACUAGUUGUGUGAGCUUGGGCCAAGUUUCAUGGCCUUCUCAAGCCUUAGUUCUCUCAUCUGUAUACUGGAGAUAAUAAUAGCACCUUCCUCCUAGGACUUGUGUGAGACUUUCGUGAGCUCGGUCCUGCAAAGUGCUCAGCACUACAUUGUUAGCUGAGUAGUAACAGUCACUUUCCUGAAAGCUUCUUCACCCAGAGGGGCUAGCCCAUGCCUGUGCACAAAGAAUGUCAAAUUACAUUCACACCCCCUGAGAUUUCCAAGCUACAGGCCAUUUUCACAGUGGCCACUCUCCAGAAAGCUAAGUCCUGCUGAAAGUAUGUUUCCAAGUUGCCAUCACCUUUAGAAUAUUUCUGAUAAGCAAGCAAAACUGCCUGUGGCCUUUGGCAGUGAAUUUCUGGGGGCUGGUAAGAGGAGGAUGUUUACCAGAGCACAAAGGCCAGGUCAUAAGCAGAGAAUAUUUUGGCCCAGACAGAUCCCAGAGAAGGCAUUUUUGCCAAGCACAGACUCCAUUCUCAGGUCCUGAAGUCAGCAUUAGACACUAAACAAACCUUCCCGGGUUCACAUUUGUUUACUUUUGGCCAAAUGCAACUUCCUGUUUGAAAGGAAAAGGGCAGUAAAGCUUUCUAUAGCCUUCUUGGACAUAAAGGCUCUACUUGAAACAAUUGAUUUGCUAAGGAUAAAUGAAUCAAACGUACACAAUGGGGAUCUCCCCUCCCCUCAAAAUGUUCAUGUUUCAACAGGGAAAGUGCUCAACAAAACCAAAACAAAUAUUUUUUCAACUGCUGGCCAAUGAAGAUUGUUUAGGCCAUUUCUUCUCCUGAGAGCAAGAAAAACAGACAUCAGGAGAGAGCUGAGUUACAUGUGCUGUGUCAGAGAAGUCACUGCGACACACUUGGGGGUUGAGAUUUCAGUUACACAGAAAGUCACAAAGUUGAAGUUCCCACAGCCACUCAAACCACAUUCCCUAGCAUGAACACAGAACAACCAGCUCUUUCAUUACGUGACUACGUCCCAAACCACGUCCUUCAGGAUCCUGAAAUUCCCUCGGAUGCCCAUGCGCCCUGCACCUAGGUUUGAAAACUGACUACCAACCCCACAUAAAUCCACCAUAAGAUUUUACAAGGAUUCAAAAUAACUUACUCUGUGUGAGGAGGUGGGGGAUGGGGAGGGGAGGUCUGUACUUUUAGAGCAUCUAGCAAAGUUAGCAUAAAAUAUAGACUUUAACUUGGGUUUAUAUAUAAAAUGAAGGUGCUCUCUACAAAUCUUGAAUCUCCUUGUCAUAAAAUAUUAAAUUUGUAAAGGACCUUAAAAAUCUUCUGGUCAACCUCCCCCUAUACACAAAUAUAUAAAUAAUAUAGAUGAGGAGUAAAGAGGUCGGGAGACAUUUCCUCCUUAGACUGUAGACGUCUUGCUUCUUAGGGCAAGAACUAUUUUGCUUAUCUUCUUAUUCUUUAAC